GCGCCCGUAGCUCAACGGAUAGAGCAUUGGCCUUCGAAGCCAAGGGUUGGGGGUUCGAUUCCCUCCGGGCGCGCCA
RNAcentral lists this transfer RNA (76 nucleotides) under Armatimonadota bacterium. RNAcentral describes it as "Armatimonadetes bacterium (groundwater metagenome) tRNA-Arg". It matches the Rfam family "tRNA". Rfam says of the family: Transfer RNA (tRNA) molecules are approximately 80 nucleotides in length. Their secondary structure includes four short double-helical elements and three loops (D, anti-codon, and T loops). Further hydrogen bonds mediate the characteristic L-shaped molecular structure. tRNAs have two regions of fundamental functional importance: the anti-codon, which is responsible for specific mRNA codon recognition, and the 3' end, to which the tRNAs corresponding amino acid is attached (by aminoacyl-tRNA synthetases). tRNAs cope with the degeneracy of the genetic code in two manners: having more than one tRNA (with a specific anti-codon) for a particular amino acid; and 'wobble' base-pairing, i.e. permitting non-standard base-pairing at the 3rd anti-codon position. Lineage: Bacteria; Bacillati; Armatimonadota. The record is from RNAcentral.